RNAcentral lists this ribosomal RNA (313 nucleotides) under uncultured eukaryote. RNAcentral's name for it is "partial 18S ribosomal RNA". It matches the Rfam family "Eukaryotic small subunit ribosomal RNA", at positions 1470 to 1796 of the family's 1831-position model. The record is from RNAcentral.
CCCUUAGAUGUCCUGGGCCGCACGCGCGUUACACUGAUGCAUUCAACGAGCUUAUAACCUUGGCCGAGAGGCCUGGGCAAUCUUGUUAACGUGCAUCGUGAUAGGGAUAGAUUAUUGAAAUUAUUAAUCUUGAACGAGGAAUUCCUAGUAAACGCAGAUCAUCAAUCUGCAUUGAUUACGUCCCUGCCCUUUGUACACACCGCCCGUCGCACCUACCGAUUGGGUGAGCCGAUGAAACUCUCGGAUGUAGGCUAUUCAUAGCCCGCAGAAGAGAUUUGAAUCGUAGCGCUUAGAGGAAGGAGAAGUCGUAACA